Molecule: non-coding RNA, 1760 nt
Organism: Lactuca sativa (garden lettuce)
Lineage: Eukaryota; Viridiplantae; Streptophyta; Magnoliopsida; Asterales; Asteraceae
Source: RefSeq, a predicted model, not a curated record
AGUCUUCAAUCCUAUUGUUCUAUCAAAAUAUCUCAAAUAUCCCCUUUCUCCAUUGUUAUAUCAAAGCUCCGUUAACAAUUUCUCUCGAGUCUACCCAUUCGAACCUUCAAGAACAACAGCAACAACGAUGAGUAAUCUUGAUUCGCUAGUGAAGCAGAAAGGUUAUGGUAUCAAGAGGUUCUUCAGUAAGGGAGGAAAGUCUAUUACAUAUCCCUUCAAAUUAGGCUGGUUCAAGAUCACGCACUUUCGCAAAUGAUUUCUCUAUCCAUUGAUAUAUAUUCUGCGUGUGGUUGUUUGUGUUUAUCUGCUCCUGCUCCUGUUUAUAUUCGAUUGAUUCUAUCGCGAUCCGUUUUGGAUUUUAUACGUGAAGCAUAUUAGAAAAAAUGAUUUCCAGUUUCUACUCCAUGUUCAUCGCUACCUCCUUCUUUAUGUUUAGGGUUUGAUUGAUAAGUUACUGAUGUAAUUAGGUUUUGGACCUUAAUGAAGUUUGAAUUUUAAGCUGUGGGAUUUUGUGAUUUUUGUUUCUAUUUAUUGUUUUAUAUCAUUCGAUUUGUCAUGUAAUCGAUUUUAAACUUUGAUCUUUUAAUCUAUUAUGAGUUCGUUGUUGAAGUUUUGGAUUUGUUCAUCAAAUUUAAUUAGUUUUCAUGAUCGUAAAGGAUCACGCGUGAUGACGUCAAGCUGUAUUGAUGAUCCAAACAUUAAAAAUUAAAAUUGAGAGGCACAAAAUAUAUAUUUUUGGAACAGCAGCAAGAUUUUAUAUCAAACCAAAAAAACCAACAAAAAACUAACAAAUACAAAAUUAAGACGUAAUAAAGUUAGUUGUGGUAUCUCAAUAUUCCCCAGUAUCUCGGCAUUCUCUGUUCAUUUAAACCGUGAAAAAUUAUUCAAAUCGGAAGAAACCAAAAAGAGUCCGUGAAACGAAUCAUAUUCUCCAUCUAUCUCUCUAAAUCCACCUCCUUCUCGCACCCUAAACCUCUACCCUUUUUGCAGCUACCCAAAUCCGUACACCACCGACGUAAAGUCAUCAUUACUACUACCGGAUCGAUUAUUUUCACGUCCAGAAAGCAAAAGCCAAUUUACUGAUUUUUGUCGUGGGUUUGUUUGGUUACAUGUAUGACGAAGUUUAUGAAGACACGGGGAAGCUAAGUCAAAGGAGUGGAAGUCGUUUCAUUGGAUUUGGUUUGAAAGACAUAAGUGGCACUUAUAUUGAGGUCAUACCAAGUGAAAUCAACGUCACUGGAAGAUAAGGGUUGUUUUCAUUCCAUGUUUAAGAAUGUGAAGUACUUCUGAAGCAUCAUAUGUUCAUGCGUUCUUUCUUGACCAUCCACUUCCCAAUCGUCAACUAACAUCUCUAUAACUCUAUCUCGACUCAAAAGAGGUAAAGCAACCUGAUUACCCUUUCCAUCUUACUGAAAAUGAAUGCAGUUUUCAUUUUUCCUAUUUUUCUCAAUCUGUGCCAAAUACAUCUGUUUUAAUAAGGUUUGUUUACCUUUAUUGUGUUUGAUUUUCAUAAUUUUUGUUUUCAGAUAUGGUAGGUUUGAUUGCUCAUCUAUAUGUUCUCACGUUUCUUCUUUAUCUUAGAGGUUCCAUUGUUCCAUCAUUUUUCAUUAUGUAUCGAUUGAGGUGAUAUCUUUGUCUAAUAGAAUCAAGGGCAUGUGACAUUUUGUCGAUUUGUUGUUCAGUUAACCUAAAUUUUGAAUGUUUGUUUAUUUUUUGAUUUUGGGUUUAUUUAAUUCUAUGUCCGUGUUAUGAUUUUUCUA